This 500-nucleotide ribosomal RNA is filed under the name uncultured bacterium. RNAcentral describes it as "bacterial SSU rRNA". It matches the Rfam family "Bacterial small subunit ribosomal RNA", at positions 114 to 624 of the family's 1533-position model. The record is from RNAcentral.
CGCGUAGGUAACCUGCCUCUUAGCGGGGGAUAACUAUUGGAAACGAUAGCUAAUACCGCAUAAAAGUCGAUAUCGCAUGAUAUUGAUUUGAAAGGUGCAAUUGCAUCACUAAGAGAUGGACCUGCGUCCCAUUAGCUAGUUGGAGAGGUAACGGCCCACCAAGGCGAUGAUGGGUAGCCGGCCUGAGAGGGUGAACGGCCACAAGGGGACUGAGACACGGCCCUUACUCCUACGGGAGGCAGCAGUGGGGAAUAUUGGACAAUGGACCAAAAGUCUGAUCCAGCAAUUCUGUGUGCACGAUGACGUUUUUCGGAAUGUAAAGUGCUUUCAGUUGGGAAGAAAAAAAUGACGGUACCAACAGAAGAAGUGACGGCUAAAUACGUGCCAGCAGCCGCGGUAAUACGUAUGUCACAAGCGUUAUCCGGAUUUAUUGGGCGUAAAGCGCGUCUAGGUGGUUAUGUAAGUCUGAUGUGAAAAUGCAGGGCUCAACUCUGUAUUGC